This 1139-nucleotide ribosomal RNA is filed under the name uncultured organism. RNAcentral's name for it is "bacterial SSU rRNA". It matches the Rfam family "Bacterial small subunit ribosomal RNA", at positions 38 to 1223 of the family's 1533-position model. The record is from RNAcentral.
AGCGGCGCGCUUAAUGCAUGCAAGUCGAGCGAUGAGGUCUCCUUCGGGGGACACAUCAGCGGCAGACGGGUGAGUAACACGUAGGUAACCUACCCCAGAGACAGGGAUAACCCUAGGAAACGAGGGCUAAUACCGGAUGACCUCCGGAAGGAGGAAAGGCUCAGGCGCUCUGGGAGGGGCUUGCGGCCCAUCAGCUAGUUGGUAGGGUAAAGGCCUACCAAGGCGAAGACGGGUAGGGGGUGUGAGAGCACGGCCCCCCACAAUGGGACUGAAACACGGCCCAUACUCCUACGGGAGGCAGCAGCAGGGAAUAUUGCACAAUAGGCGAAAGCCUGAUGCAGCGACGCCGCGUGAGUGAAGAAGGCCUUCGGGUCGUAAAGCUCUUUUGUAGGGGAAGAGGAAGGACGGUACCCUAAGAAGAAGCGUCGGCUAACUACGUGCCAGCAGCCGCGGUAAGACGUAGGACGCGAGCGUUAUCCGGAAUUACUGGGCGUAAAGGGCCAGCAGGCGGCUUGGUAAGUUGUGCGUGAAAGCCUCGUGCUCAACGCGAGGAAGCCGGACAAUACUGUCAAGCUAGAGGGCAUCAGAGGGGAGUGGAAUUCCCGGAGUAGCGGUAAAAUGCGCAGAUAUCGGGAGGAACACCGAUGGCGAAGGCAGCUCCCUGGGAUGCACCUGACGCUAAGAGGCGAAAGCUAGGGGAGCGAACAGGAUUAGAGACCCUGGUAGUCCUAGCUGUAAACGCUGGGUGCUAGGUGUGGGACGUAGAAGUUCCGUGCCGGAGCAUACGCGAUAAGCACCCCGCCUGGGAAUUACGGUCGCAAGGCUAAAACUCAAACGAAUUGACGGGGCCCCGCACAAGCAGCGGAGCGUGUGGUUCAAUUCGAUGCUACACGAAGAACCUUACCUGGGUUUGACAUGUACGUGGUACGAAGGCGAAAGCCUAAGGACCCUUCGGGGAGCGUACACAGGUGCUGCAUGGCUGUCGUCAGCUCGUGCCGUGAGGUGUCGGGUUAAGUCCCGUAACGAGCGCAACCCUUGCCCUUAGUUACAAGUGUCUAAGGGGACUGCCGGCGGGAAGCCGGAGGAAGGUGGGGAUGACGUCAAGUCAGCAUGGCCCUUAUGUCCAGGGCUACACACAC